UACGUAGGGGGCAAGCGUUGUCCGGAAUCAUUGGGCGUAAAGCGCGUGUAGGCGGCUUGGUAAGUCCGCUCUGAAAGCCCGGGGCUCAACCCCGGGAGGCGGGUGGAUACUGCUGAGCUCGAGUCCGGAAGAGGCGAGUGGAAUUCCUGGUGUAGCGGUGAAAUGCGCAGAUAUCAGGAGGAACACCGAUGGCGAAGGCAGCUUACUGGGCCGAUACUGACGCUGAGGAGCGAAAGCGUGGGGAGCGAACAGG
This 253-nucleotide ribosomal RNA is filed under the name uncultured bacterium. RNAcentral describes it as "partial 16S ribosomal RNA". It matches the Rfam family "Bacterial small subunit ribosomal RNA", at positions 524 to 776 of the family's 1533-position model. The record is from RNAcentral.